UACGUAGGGGGCAAGCGUUGUCCGGAAUCAUUGGGCGUAAAGCGCGUGUAGGCGGCUUGGUCAGUCCGGCGUGAAACCUCGGGGCUCAACCCCGAGCCUGCGUUGGAUACUGCCUCGCUCGAGUCCGGGAGGGGAGAGCGGAAUUCCCAGUGUAGCGGUGAAAUGCGCAGAUAUUGGGAAGAACACCGGUGGCGAAGGCGGCUCUCUGGAACGGUACUGACGCUGAGACGCGAAAGCGUGGGGAGCAAACAGG
Molecule: ribosomal RNA, 253 nt
Filed under: uncultured bacterium
Lineage: Bacteria
Description: partial 16S ribosomal RNA
Rfam family: Bacterial small subunit ribosomal RNA
Source: RNAcentral